GAUGAACGCUGGCGGCGUGCCUAAUACAUGCAAGUCGAGCGAACAGACGAGGAGCUUGCUCCUCUGACGUUAGCGGCGGACGGGUGAGUAACACGUGGGUAACCUACCUAUAAGACUGGGAUAACUUCGGGAAACCGGAGCUAAUACCGGAUAAUAUAUUGAACCGGAUGGUUCAAUAGUGAAAGACGGUGUUGCUGUCACUUAUAGAUGGAUCAGCGCCACAUUAGCUAGUUGGUAAGGUAACGGCUUACCAAGGCAACGAUGCGUAGCCGACCUGAGAGGGUGAUCGGCCACACUGGAACUGAGACACGGUCCAGACUCCUACGGGAGGCAGCAGUAGGGAAUCUUCCGCAAUGGGCGAAAGCCUGACGGAGCAACGCCGCGUGAGUGAUGAAGGUCUUCGGAUCGUAAAACUCUGUUAUUCGGGAAGAAACAAUGUGUAAGUAACUAUGCACGUAUUGACGGUACCUAAUCAGAAAGCCACGGCUAACUACGUG
Molecule: ribosomal RNA, 497 nt
Filed under: uncultured bacterium
Lineage: Bacteria
Description: partial 16S ribosomal RNA
Rfam family: Bacterial small subunit ribosomal RNA
Source: RNAcentral